This is a non-coding RNA of Misgurnus anguillicaudatus (oriental weatherfish), 1637 nucleotides long. The record is from RefSeq and is a predicted model, not a curated record. NCBI's taxonomy places the organism in Eukaryota, Metazoa, Chordata, Actinopteri, Cypriniformes, Cobitidae.
UGGAUAGUAAAUACGUUUUCUACUGUUUUUGUUUAAUGUUUUAAACGUCCCCUUUGGACAAAGCCUUAAGUUUCUUCUUAACUAACGUUAUAUGACGACAUUUACGUUACUUCAAAGCCCAGUUAACUGUUAACUUAAAACGAGAUUAAUGUAAGUUAAAGUAAAUGCAUUCUUUGCAUUUUCAGAUUAUUAAAAUGAGAUUUUUGACAAUUACAGCCCGUAACAAAUCUCUGGUAAUUAAUUUCUGAAAACCAUUUUUUGUACACGAACAGUUAAAGCAGCCCAUCCCCCGCUGUACAUCAGUGCUGCUGGGUCAAAACAACCCCAUUCAUGGAUCAUCCGUCGCGGGGAUUUUGGAUCGUCAGAAGGAGAAAUACAGCAGGACUUUACAAGCAGACAUUCUUCAGCGGUUGUUUUCUGGUGAAAUAAAGGGGUGGCGAAUGUCGGUCGUGGAGAGCCGCAGUCCUGCAGAGUUUAGCUCCAGCUCUAAUCAAACACACCUGAACAGGUGGUCUGAGUUUCCAUGAGUUUCCUAGGCUAACUACCCCAGGCAUGAUUGCACAAGACUUUUACACAUUACACCAGGAUGCAGCUCCAAAACUCUUCGAGAAAUGGCUCCCUUGAUAUACCGAUAGGAUCUUGCAUUUUUCUAAACCAGAAGCAAAGCUUCCAUGUUCAGUUGAGGAGAUGACACAAGAUGCAAAGGGAUAUCUUGCAUUAAAGCUGCUCCCUGUUUUGCUUCCACCUCCACCCUUCAAAACUGCCAGAAAAAGUCCGGCCCAGCAUUGAUGAUGGCAAAAAAAGCUUUCAUCGACAUUCAGCCUGUUGGAACAAAUAUGAUGGAGUACCUCCAGCAGGCUGAAGCAUCAGGACUUCACCCUUAUUUCCUGUCACUUGAAAAUGGACACAUGAGUCCCAGGCAUUCGUCAUCCUUGGAGGAGAAACUUUGGACAAGGCACUUUGAUUGGGGUAGUAGAAGAACUACAUUCUUGCAAGUAAAUGACAAGAGGUUUUUUUUAAAUAGACUGGGUUUCAGGUACAAGAGUUAUCAUUUUAGGUUUUUUUAUAGACUUAAAGGUGCUCUAAGCGAAUCUGUGUGACGUUACUUUUUGUUGAUGUUUGAACUGUUUUGAAACAAACGAAGCGUAUCUAACUCCUUCCCUCCCUUCCGUGCUUUCAUGAACGCGCCCAACCCUCACCCCCAAAUGCUUCUUGUCGUUAAUUGGCUGGAACACUUUGUUAUCCUUUCUGGUAGUAGGUUUGGCCACUUUAUUUUUAUUGCAGUUUGUGGAGCUAGGCUGUCUACAGAGAUCACGUUUUUUACAGUUUGAUCAAAGGACAGGCAGCCAGCAGAUAGUGAGGAGAUGUUUGCUGUAUGUAACAAAAAAUGUUUUAUGGUCUAAAACGCGUGAAUUCGCUUAGAGCACCUUUAAGGAAGAGUAUUACUUGAUGAAUAUUAAUGACAUGUUUAUGAAAUGUUACACUGGCAAAAUGCUGUAUUUCAUAGUUUUUUUGUGUGUGUUCAUAAUGUAGACUAAAACAAUACUGCUUUGUAACAAACAGUUGUUCUUAAAGGUAUUUAAUGAAUUUCAUGAUUUUUUUUAAAUGUUAAAACAUUUAGGGGCGGUUUCCCGGAC